Drosophila miranda is the source of this 129-nucleotide small nucleolar RNA. RefSeq annotates it as small nucleolar RNA psi18S-841/snoR66. The transcript has a single exon. The record is from RefSeq and is a predicted model, not a curated record. Lineage: Eukaryota; Metazoa; Arthropoda; Insecta; Diptera; Drosophilidae.
GGCAAAUGCACUCUGUGUCGCAUUGAAACACAGCCACAUGUGAUGACAAUUUGCUAGUUUGCUAGAUCAAGUGGGAACGGGGUGGGUCUAUAACCAAGCUGAUCACAUUGAAAACGCAUCGUACAUCCU